UACGUAGGGUGCGAGCGUUGUCCGGAUUUAUUGGGCGUAAAGCGCGCGCAGGUGGUGGAUUAAGUUGUGGGUAAAAGGCAUUGGCUCAACCAAUGUAAGCCUGCAAAACUGGUUCACUUGAGUGCAGGAGAGGGGAGUGGAAUUCCCGGUGUAGCGGUGGAAUGCGUAGAUAUCGGGAGGAACACCAGUGGCGAAGGCGGCUAUCUGGGCUGAAACUGACGCUGAGGCGACGAAGGCUAGGGGAGCAAACAGG
RNAcentral lists this ribosomal RNA (253 nucleotides) under uncultured bacterium. RNAcentral describes it as "partial 16S ribosomal RNA". It matches the Rfam family "Bacterial small subunit ribosomal RNA", at positions 524 to 776 of the family's 1533-position model. The record is from RNAcentral.